RNAcentral lists this transfer RNA (99 nucleotides) under Neolewinella aurantiaca. RNAcentral's name for it is "Lewinella sp. SSH13 tRNA-Met". It matches the Rfam family "tRNA". From Rfam's summary of the family: Transfer RNA (tRNA) molecules are approximately 80 nucleotides in length. Their secondary structure includes four short double-helical elements and three loops (D, anti-codon, and T loops). Further hydrogen bonds mediate the characteristic L-shaped molecular structure. tRNAs have two regions of fundamental functional importance: the anti-codon, which is responsible for specific mRNA codon recognition, and the 3' end, to which the tRNAs corresponding amino acid is attached (by aminoacyl-tRNA synthetases). tRNAs cope with the degeneracy of the genetic code in two manners: having more than one tRNA (with a specific anti-codon) for a particular amino acid; and 'wobble' base-pairing, i.e. permitting non-standard base-pairing at the 3rd anti-codon position. Lineage: Bacteria; Pseudomonadati; Bacteroidota; Saprospiria; Saprospirales; Lewinellaceae. The record is from RNAcentral.
UGCGGGGUAGUGCAGUGGUAGCAUACCGGUCUCAUAAGCCAGUGAUCGUGGGUUAGCUGCGCUGCUGCCUUCGGCGGUCGAACCCUCUUCCCGCAUCAA